UUUAUUCUUCUUUAUUCUCCCAUUUCUCUUGAGAGCAAAACUAGGGUUUCCGAAGCGGCGACUCCAUUUUCUUCUCAUUUUCAACCUUUUAUCUUCUUUACCAACUCCAACGUUCACCUAGCUACAUCACGGUCAUCGCCACCAUCAUCUCCAGUAGCUGCUGAUAUUUGUUGAUAAUCAGAUGGAGUCUACAGGUCACUUCCUCCGCUGCUUGAAUGCUUUAGCUAGUCCUCGAGUUAUUCUCACAUUGGGCAAUUUGGUUGGUCUGAGGAAGUUGCUGAGUUUGGAUAUAUGGCAGCUUGUCACUUCUUCCGCUACUUGAAAACUAUCAACAGUUUUCAGUGUUACCUUUUCCUAUCUUGGUUGCUAUUCCAUCUUUCUACUAAAAGGAAUAAAUACGCAGCCCAAAAAUAUUAAAUGAAAGAAGCACCAAAAAA
Papaver somniferum (opium poppy) is the source of this 437-nucleotide long non-coding RNA. RefSeq lists it as uncharacterized. Lineage: Eukaryota; Viridiplantae; Streptophyta; Magnoliopsida; Ranunculales; Papaveraceae. The transcript has 2 exons. The record is from RefSeq and is a predicted model, not a curated record.